GUUUCCGCGUCACAGCAAGGCAAGGCAAAGUUAUCUGUACAGCACAAUUCACACACAGGGCAAUUCAUAGUGCUUUACAUAUAUGGAAAAGAGACAACUUAAAAACACACAAAACAUAAUCAAUAAAACAUAAAUAAUAAUCAAUUUAAAAAAAGCAAAAGAGAAGAGUCCAUUAUUACCCCUAGAUUUCUAACCUGACAUUUAGCUUUAAAAGUAAGAGAUUCCUGAUGACUGCUGACACUUUCUCUUGGUUUUUGUGGGCCACAGACAAUGACUUCAGUCUGGUCUGAGUUUAGUUG
Sphaeramia orbicularis (orbiculate cardinalfish) is the source of this 299-nucleotide long non-coding RNA. RefSeq lists it as uncharacterized. The record is from RefSeq and is a predicted model, not a curated record. The transcript is spliced from 4 exons. Lineage: Eukaryota; Metazoa; Chordata; Actinopteri; Kurtiformes; Apogonidae.